UUUUAAAGAUUCUGGGCCCUUACCUGCCCAUUCUAUUCAGCUGUGCGCUUCGGCUGCACGCUGGAUGCAACACCUCACACCUGUGCACCAUUUCGGUUGCGGCUUUGGCCGCUGCCGCUUCAAAUGCAACCACUCAGUCUCGAAUGUCAACAAAACUAUAAAAAGUAACAACUUUCAACAACGGAUCUCUUGGCUCUCGCAUCGAUGAAGAACGCAGCGAAAUGCGAUAAGUAAUGUGAAUUGCAGAAUUCAGUGAAUCAUCGAAUCUUUUGAACGCAUCUUGCGCUCCUUGGUAUUCCAUGGAGCAUGCCUGUUUGAGUGUCACGUAAACCCCUCACCCUUGCGAUGUAACAGUUGCACUGCGGUGGACUUGGACUGUGCCGUAACCGGCUCGUCUUGAAAUGCAUUAGCUGGCGCUUUUAGAGUGCUGGGCGACGGUGUGAUAAUUAUCUGCGCCAAUGCCCUGGGCCUCUUCAGCGGUGCUGCUUACAGUCGUCCCUCUGCGGACAACUAAUAUCUAAA
RNAcentral lists this ribosomal RNA (522 nucleotides) under Auricularia fuscosuccinea. RNAcentral's name for it is "partial small subunit ribosomal RNA". The stretch from base 170 to 324 matches the Rfam family "5.8S ribosomal RNA". Lineage: Eukaryota; Fungi; Basidiomycota; Agaricomycetes; Auriculariales; Auriculariaceae. The record is from RNAcentral.